This 710-nucleotide ribosomal RNA is filed under the name Hygrophorus alboflavescens. Its description in RNAcentral is "partial large subunit ribosomal RNA". It matches the Rfam family "Eukaryotic large subunit ribosomal RNA", at positions 122 to 809 of the family's 3401-position model. Lineage: Eukaryota; Fungi; Basidiomycota; Agaricomycetes; Agaricales; Hygrophoraceae. The record is from RNAcentral.
UAGUCAUUGUGACUGUCCGAGUUGUAAUCUAGAGAAGUGUUUUCCGUGUUGGACCGUGUACAAGUCUCUUGGAACAGAGCAUCAUAGAGGGUGAGAAUCCCGUCUUUGACACGGACUGCCAGUGCUUUGUGUGAUGCGCUCUCAAAGAGUCGAGUUGUUUGGGAAUGCAGCUCAAAAUGGGUGGUAAAUUCCAUCUAAAGCUAAAUAUUGGCGAGAGACCGAUAGCGAACAAGUACCGUGAGGGAAAGAUGAAAAGAACUUUGGAAAGAGAGUUAAACAGUACGUGAAAUUGUUGAAAGGGAAACGCUUGAAGUCAGUCGCGUUGGCUAGAAAUCAACUCUUUAUUUUUUUGAAGGGUGUAUUUUCUGGCUUUUACGGGUCAACAUCAAUUUUGACUGUUGGAUAAAAUUUGAUAUUUAUGCAUUUUUGGAUGUAUAGCCUUUGAUUGCAUACAACAGUUGGGAUUGAGGAACUCAGCAUGCCGCAAAGGUCAGGUCAUUUUUUUGAUCAUGUAACAUGCUUAGGAUGUUGGCAUUAAUGGCUUUAAUCGACCCGUCUUGAAACACGGACCAAGGAGUCUAACAUGCCUGCAAGUGUUUGGGUGGUAAACCCGAGUGCGCAAUGAAAGUGAAUGUUGAGAUCUCUGUCAUGGGGAGCAUUGACAUCCAGACCGGAUCUUUUGUGAUGGUUCUGCGGUAGAGCAUGUAUGU